NNNNCUUUCUUACUUCUCAGAUUGGACCAGAUUGCUUAAAGCUGUUGCUUGGUACCAAAAGCUUGGAGACAGCCUGUUAGCACUCGCUGCUAAAAGGAAGGAACUUUCCACCAAUGUCUGCACUCGUUCUAGACAUCAAAAACUGGCUUCCCAGCUGCAUACCUUCAGAUCAACACUUAGUGGUCAGUUCUUGUCUAUGAAAGACCUUGGGAGAGCAGAAAAAGAAAUUGUAUCCUACACUCAAAGACAAGCUUUCCCAAAUGAGUUUGAAAAGCUAAAAAUGACUCCACACAAUGUUCAAAAAAAGAGUACUCUCUACAAACUAGAUCCAAUGAUAAAAGAUGGAUUAUUGAGAGUUGGAGGACGACUGUCAAGAGCGACGAUGUCAGAAAGCAUGAAGCAUCCCAUCAUUCUUCCGAAAGACUCCCACACCUCCAAUUUGUUACUACGCCACAUUCACGAAAGGUAUGGGCACUGUGGAAGAAAUUAUAUUCUUGCCCAGUUGCGUAAGAAGUAUUGGAUCAUCAAUGGCAACACAGCAGCAAGAAAAAUAAUUUCUAAGUGUGUGACAUGCAGACGCUUGAAAGGCAAAACUGAGGAACAAAAGAUGGCUAAUUUUCCAAAAGAAAGAACUCUACCAGAUCUUCCACCGUUCACAAAUGUUGGAAUGGACUAUUUUGGCCCAAUAGAAACAAAAAGAGGAAGAAAUUUUGUCAAAAGAUAUGGCGUACUCUUUACAUGUAUGUCGUGCAGAGCCAUUCAUCUUGAAAUGGCCAGCUCCCUGGACACUGACUCCUGUAUCCAUGCUUUAAGAAGAUUAAUAUGUAGGAGGGGCCAGGUAAAACACAUCUGGUCUGACAAUGGUACCAAUCUCGUUGGUGCAUGCAGAGAGCUCAAAAAGGCCAUUACCAAUCUGAACAGCAGUAAGAUUCAAAGUGCCAUGCUCCAAAGAGGUAUUGACUGGAGUUUCAACCCACCAGGGGCGUCUCACCACGGUGGCGUGUGGGAGAGACUAAUUAGGUCUGCAAGAUGGGUCUUAAAUUCCCUUUUACACCAACAAGUUGUAGACGAUGAAGGUCUCCAGACAUUGUUUUGUGAAGUUGAGGCAAUUCUUAACAACCGCCCAAUCACCACUGCAUCCUCUGACCCUUUCGACCUGGAGGCUCUUACACCUAACCACAUUCUCUUGCAUAACUCGCAGCCUGUUCUACCUCCAGGUGAGUUUUCCAAAUCUGACUCAUACACCAGGCGCCGGUGGAAACAAGUGCAAUACUUGGCAGAUUUGUUCUGGAGGAGAUGGACACAGGAGUAUUUAACACUAAUGCAAGAGAGACAGAAGUGGUGUAAAGCAAGAACUAAUCUCAAAGUUGGAGAUAUUGUGGUGGUGGUUGACCCUACCUCUCCACGAUCCUCAUGGCCGCUUGCAAGAAUACUAGAAACAAAACCUGACUCAAAAGGGAUGGUCCGGUCAGUCAAACUGCAGAC
Cyprinus carpio (common carp) is the source of this 1485-nucleotide long non-coding RNA. The record is from Ensembl. NCBI's taxonomy places the organism in Eukaryota, Metazoa, Chordata, Actinopteri, Cypriniformes, Cyprinidae.